Molecule: small nuclear RNA, 102 nt
Organism: Prosopis cineraria
Lineage: Eukaryota; Viridiplantae; Streptophyta; Magnoliopsida; Fabales; Fabaceae
Source: RefSeq, a predicted model, not a curated record
UUAUCCUCUCAGAGACAUCUGAUAAAAUUGGAAUUAUAUAGAGAAAAUUGGCAUAGUGCCCUAGCAAGGAUGAUACGCACAAAUUGAGAAUAUUAUAUUUUU